AACGAACGCUGGCGGCAUGCCUAACACAUGCCAGUCGAACGAGACCUUCGGGUCUAGUGGCGCACGGGUGCGUAACGCGUGGGAACCUGCCCUUAGGUUCGGAAUAACUCCCCGAAAGGGGUGCUAAUACCGGAUAAUGUCUUCGGACCAAAGAUUUAUCGCCUUUGGAUGGGCCCGCGUUGGAUUAGCUAGUUGGUAGGGUAAAAGCCUACCAAGGCGACGAUCCAUAGCUGGUCUGAGAGGAUGAUCAGCCACACUGGGACUGAGACACGACCCAGACUCCUACGGGAGGCAGCAGUGGGGAAUAUUGGACAAUGGGCGAAAGCCUGAUCCAGCAAUGCCGCGUGAGUGAUGAAGGCCUUAGGGUUGUAAAGCUCUUUUACCCGGGAUGAUAAUGACAGUACCGGGAGAAUAAGCGCCGGCUAACUCCGUG
This 433-nucleotide ribosomal RNA is filed under the name uncultured bacterium. Its description in RNAcentral is "partial 16S ribosomal RNA". It matches the Rfam family "Bacterial small subunit ribosomal RNA", at positions 29 to 507 of the family's 1533-position model. The record is from RNAcentral.